AAAAGAGGGCUCAGCUUUGUCAUUCAUCUUCAAAGCCAACACCCACAUCUCUUGGUCCAUAACCUACCCAUCGUAGUGUAAGAGAACUGCCCUGGUUAUCACUCAUCAGAAUGACCGUCCAAGGCACAAAUCAUCCAACAUCGGCGACAAAAUUGAGCAGGCUACAACAGAGGUAAGGGUAGGCUCUAAGGGCAACUCCAACACUGACACCGACUAUUUCAGCUCUGUUUAGUCCCACAAGCCAAGGCUGUCUUGAUUGCCCAAGACAUGAUUGUUUCAUCUAGUCGUCGUCAUCAUCGCCCCUCUUAUUGGUCCAAAAAUGAGGUUGCCUCUGCACACCAAGCAACAUGACCAUGUUACCCCAUUACAUGUGUGCACACAUCCAGCCAUCAAGCUCGGAGCUGCUCAUACCUGGAGUCGACUGACCAACCCCCCCGGUGUGGACGGCACGUCAGACAAAUACCGUACGGUUCCCAGCCAACGCCACACUACCGGACGCAUUAAUCGAGCCACUGCAGGAGGCACAUACAUGGCAGAGAGGCAGUGGAUGAAGAUGUUUGCAUUGUGGCAAAGGCGGCCUUGUCCACCACACCUCCACCCUCCUCCUUCGACAGCUCCGGCCAUGGCGCUCAGGCGAGCUUGUCCUUGACCAGCUGCCGCACGAUGGCCUUAGGGAUUUCCUUCACCUCUGGCUCCGUC
RNAcentral lists this long non-coding RNA (699 nucleotides) under Triticum aestivum (bread wheat). RNAcentral's name for it is "long non-coding RNA (TAES_LNC002954)". The record is from RNAcentral. Lineage: Eukaryota; Viridiplantae; Streptophyta; Magnoliopsida; Poales; Poaceae.